This 252-nucleotide ribosomal RNA is filed under the name uncultured prokaryote. RNAcentral describes it as "partial 16S ribosomal RNA". It matches the Rfam family "Bacterial small subunit ribosomal RNA", at positions 524 to 776 of the family's 1533-position model. The record is from RNAcentral.
UACGGAGGGUGCAAGCAUUGAUCGGAAUUACUGGGCGUAAGGGCGCGUAGGCGGUCAGAUAAGUCAGAUGUGAAAUUCCGGGGCUCAACCCCGGAGCGGCAUUUGAAACUGUAUGACUAGAGUACAGUUAGGGAAAACGGAAUUCCACGUGUAGCGGUGAAAUGCGUAGAUAUGUGGAAGAACACCGGUGGUGAAGACGGUUUUCUGGGCUGAAACUGACGCUGAGGCGCGAAAGCUAGGGGAGCAAACAGG